This 21-nucleotide non-coding RNA is filed under the name Caenorhabditis elegans. The record is from RNAcentral. Lineage: Eukaryota; Metazoa; Nematoda; Chromadorea; Rhabditida; Rhabditidae.
UGCAUGAGUAGAUUUUCACAG